GAUGAACGCUGGCGGCGUGCCUAAUACAUGCAAGUCGAGCGAACAGACGAGGAGCUUGCUCCUUUGACGUUAGCGGCGGACGGGUGAGUAACACGUAGGUAACCUACCUAUAAGACUGGGAUAACUUCGGGAAACCGGAGCUAAUACCGGAUAAUAUUUCGAACCGCAUGGUUCGAUAGUGAAAGAUGGCUUAGCUAUCACUUAUAGAUGGACCUGCGCCGUAUUAGCUAGUUGGUAAGGUAACGGCAUACCAAGGCAACGAUACGUAGCCGACCUGAGAGGGUGAACGGCCACACUGGAACUGAGACACGGUCCAGACUCCUACGGGAGGCAGCAGUAGGGAAUCUUCCGCAAUGGGCGAAAGCCUGACGGAGCAACGCCGCGUGAGUGAUGAAGGUCUUCGGAUCGUAAAACUCUGUUAUUAGGGAAGAACAAAAGUGUAAGUAACUGUGCACGUCUUGACGGUACCUAAUCAGAAAGCCACGGCUAACUACGUG
Molecule: ribosomal RNA, 497 nt
Filed under: uncultured bacterium
Lineage: Bacteria
Description: partial 16S ribosomal RNA
Rfam family: Bacterial small subunit ribosomal RNA
Source: RNAcentral